AAUCUAAUUCAGUGGCGAACGGGUGAGUAAUACUUAUCUACUUGCCAAUUAGUGGGGGAUUAAAUACCGCAUAUUCUGAUUUCGGUCAGGAAAGGGUUCCGCAAGGAUCCGCUAAUUGAGAGGGAUAAGGCGUAUUAGCUAGUUGGUGGGGUAAUGGCCUACCAAGGUGAUGAUGCGUAGCCGGCCUGAGAGGGUGAACGGCCACAAGGGAACUGAGACACGGUCCCUACUCCUACGGGAGGCAGAAGGAGGAAACAUCCCGCAAUGGACGCAAGUCUAACGGAGUGAUACUACGUGAAGGAUGAAGGUCUACGGAUUGUAAACUUCUUUACUAGUAGGUACUGCUUUCGGGCUUGCUUGCUAGCAAAAAGUCACGACUAACUAUGUGCCAGCAGUCGCGGUAAGACAUAGGUGGCAAACGUUAUCCGGAAUUACUGGGCGUAAAGAGUGCGUAGGUGGUUUAAUAAGUUACUGGUGGCAAAUCGGGGCUCAACCCCGUGGAAGUUGGUAAUACUAUUAAACUAGAGGAUCGGAGAGGUUAACGGAAUUCUAUGUGUAGCGGUAAAAUGCUCAAAUAUAUAGAGGAACACCAAACGGCGAAGGCAGUUAACUAUUCGGUGCCUGACGUUGAGGCACGAAAGCGUGGGGAGCAAGACGGAUUAGAUACCCGAGUAGUCCACGCCCUAAACGAUGAGUACUAGAUAUUAGGAACUUGAUUCUUAGUGUCGCAAGAUAACUCGGUAAGUACUCCGCCUGGGUAGUACGGUCGCAAGGCUAAAACUC
Molecule: ribosomal RNA, 783 nt
Filed under: uncultured Bacillota bacterium
Lineage: Bacteria; Bacillati; Bacillota
Description: bacterial SSU rRNA
Rfam family: Bacterial small subunit ribosomal RNA
Source: RNAcentral